CGACCGCGACCCCAGGUCAGACGGGACUACCCGCUGAGUUUAAGCAUAUCAAUAAGCGGGGA
Molecule: ribosomal RNA, 62 nt
Filed under: Plantago erecta
Lineage: Eukaryota; Viridiplantae; Streptophyta; Magnoliopsida; Lamiales; Plantaginaceae
Description: partial 28S ribosomal RNA
Source: RNAcentral